RNAcentral lists this long non-coding RNA (200 nucleotides) under Setaria italica (foxtail millet). RNAcentral's name for it is "long non-coding RNA (SITA_LNC005746)". The record is from RNAcentral. Lineage: Eukaryota; Viridiplantae; Streptophyta; Magnoliopsida; Poales; Poaceae.
UAAUUUCACAUCUCUUUUACCUUAAAACACAAAGAAAAAACUUUUUUAGUCGAUGGGCACGUGGCACACAGCCCCCGAGCCGUUACACGACUAGUUUGGGUAUAGGGUCAACCACUAGUCAACAUGACCAUUCGCUAACAGUAACCUUAUCUCUUUCAAAAAAAAAUGGAAACUGUCAAGCGAUAACUCCAAGCUUUAAA